UUUUUUUUAUGUUUUUGUGUAAUCUAACCCUCAUUCAAGCCUUGGUAAGUGUGUUUGGGACUCGAUGUAGUUUGGUUCGUGUAUAUACGUGUGUUUAUGAGCUUUGAUUUUAUUGCUCGUUUAUGUGAUGAAUAAGUAUGAGUUUAUUAAUUUUGUCAUAACUGAACAUUAGAAUACAAGUGUAAUUAAAUUUGAAUCUGUUCAAAUGGAAAUGCUAAUGUCUGUAUAAUAUCUGCAUAAUGUGUGCAU
Molecule: long non-coding RNA, 249 nt
Filed under: Gossypium barbadense (sea-island cotton)
Lineage: Eukaryota; Viridiplantae; Streptophyta; Magnoliopsida; Malvales; Malvaceae
Description: long non-coding RNA (GBAR_LNC006302)
Source: RNAcentral